RNAcentral lists this ribosomal RNA (229 nucleotides) under uncultured bacterium. Its description in RNAcentral is "partial 16S ribosomal RNA". It matches the Rfam family "Bacterial small subunit ribosomal RNA", at positions 568 to 796 of the family's 1533-position model. The record is from RNAcentral.
CGCGUAGGCGGUUUGAUAAGUCGGAUGUGAAAGCCCUGGGCUCAACCUGGGAAUUGCAUUCGAAACUGUCUGACUAGAGUAUGGGAGAGGGAAGUGGAAUUUCCGGUGUAGCGGUGAAAUGCGUAGAUAUCGGAAGGAACACCAGUGGCGAAGGCGACUUCCUGGACCAAUACUGACGCUGAGGUGCGAAGGCGUGGGGAGCAAACAGGAUUAGAUACCCUGGUAGUCC